CCUACGGGAGGCAGCAGUGGGGAAUUUUGGACAAUGGGCGCAAGCCUGAUCCAGCAAUGCCGCGUGAGUGAAGAAGGCCUUCGGGUUGUAAAGCUCUUUUGUCAGGGAAGAAACGGUUGUUCCUAAUACGGAUGGCUAAUGACGGUACCUGAAGAAUAAGCACCGGCUAACUACGUGCCAGCAGCCGCGGUAAUACGUAGGGUGCAAGCGUUAAUCGGAAUUACUGGGCGUAAAGCGUGCGCAGGCGGUUAUAUAAGUCAGAUGUGAAAUCCCCGGGCUCAACCUGGGAACUGCAUUUGAGACUGUAUGGCUAGAGUGUGUCAGAGGGGGGUAGAAUUCCACGUGUAGCAGUGAAAUGCGUAGAUAUGUGGAGGAAUACCGAUGGCGAAGGCAGCCCCCUGGGAUAACACUGACGCUCAUGCACGAAAGCGUGGGGAGCAAACAGGAUUAGAUACCCUGGUAGUCCACGCCCUAAACGAUGUCUACUAGUUGUCGGGACUUAAUUGUCUUGGUAACGCAGCUACGCGNGAGUAGACGCCGUGGAGGUACGGUCGCGAGAGUAAACGUACGAAGAAGUAGUACGGCGUGAGACGUAGCGACGACGACGACGAGGGAGGAGG
RNAcentral lists this ribosomal RNA (620 nucleotides) under uncultured bacterium. RNAcentral describes it as "bacterial SSU rRNA". The stretch from base 1 to 539 matches the Rfam family "Bacterial small subunit ribosomal RNA", at positions 338 to 873 of the family's 1533-position model. The record is from RNAcentral.